Non-coding RNA from Osmia lignaria (orchard mason bee), 4453 nucleotides. Lineage: Eukaryota; Metazoa; Arthropoda; Insecta; Hymenoptera; Megachilidae. The record is from RefSeq and is a predicted model, not a curated record.
CUCUGGUUUCCAUUUCUGAUUAAAGAUUUUUGAUAUGUAUCAAAUAUAACAUUCAAUAGAUAUGUAACCUUAGAAUAUAAUCUUGAUACUUUUUGUUUUUUUAUAUAAAAUCGUAUUGCAACAUCAAAAUCGAUACACUUGAACCAAGAUCAAGAACAACGAACAACGAUACUACGAAUAAGGCGAUUUCUGACAUUUCUGAUUAGCGGAGCAUCGAUAAGAACUGUUCACUUUUUUCCAUCGUCCACGAAUGUUUAGACGCAUUUAUGAGGAAACAGAGAAAUCGUUGCACAAGCGGCUCGUAGAGCAGAUCGAACCGGAAUUAAGGAAGUCGAACUCUGGCGCAAAAGUAACUGCAUACGUAAUUGAUCGCGCGUUAAAUUGCAUCGCAUUAGAGCACACGUGAUCUUGUUCUUCGCAGUUUCAUCAAUGAUACCGAAAAGAAGAUGAAAAAUCGGAGCGGGGCAAAGGGAUUCGGUUAAGUUAAACGAUUGCUGCAAUCCAGACAGAGGCAAUGAGCGUCAUUGGUGAUUGACGCAUCCAAUUUUAUAUAUUUCAAUAAUUGUUAAAAGAAGGCUGAUGAUAACCUUUGAAUACCGCUAUUACACUAUAAUAGUGCCAUUCCAAAGUUACCAUUCUAAAAGGUUACAUGUGAAAAUUAACCAAUUGCGCCCUUAACGAAGUUUCGAUCUUACUUCUUUCUUUCCACAAAAUUUUUUCAAUUUUUCCAAAACAAAAAUAUUACAAGAUAACGUAGUUAUUUUUUCUUCUGUUUCGAAAUCUUCUGUUGAAAAAAGAAUUGAAUUACCGAGAGAAAAGCAAAGAAAAAUGACCGAGUGAACGACAGUCCAUUACAUUCGCACGAUCACUCGAAAGUGAAAUCGUUCAUAGCACGGAGCAAGAAAUGUCUGUUCGCCAAAUUGAAAAAAAGCAAUGAACGAGGAAACAGGAAGUCGGACAGGAGACAAACGAUCAAGUGGAGGCAAUAAGAUAAUACCAUCUCUGUGGACCAACAUUUAACGACUUAAUUUUGUCCCCGCUUAUUAAUUCCCCAAUUCGCAUAGGAUUUGCAUGAUAUAAUGUUCGUCAUGGGAAACAGCAGAAUAGACCUUGUUCUUUUGUGUCGGAUACAAACCAAUCAGACUUUGUUAACGGUUCCUAACUCAAUUGGGAUCAAUCGAAGGCCGAAGCGUGCUGGAAAAGUGUCGAUAUGCGCCGACGAAAAGUAGCUGACGAAGGAAGGAACACCCUCUCGAGAGGCAAAAACGAAAGAGCAAUCGAUGAAGCCGCCAAUGUGUCGACCACUUGACUUGACUUUGUGUGCUGGCCCCUCCUGAACACCAUCCCGACAAGACUGGCUUUCACCAUAAUUAUAUGGUACCCAGAUACAUACAUGCAAGUAGCGUUGGGACUGAUACGAAUUUCGAAUUUCGAAUUUCGAAUUUCCAAUUGGUACUCAACAGGAAUAACCUGACAACAUUAUUUAAUAAAUAAAUAAAAAUUUUAAAAUUAUAAAAUUACUACUAUAGUACAUUUAAAAUUGAUGGCAUGUAAAACUGAGAGUUUUUAUUUUGAUUGGUUACUGUGAAUUCUUCUACUGAGCGACGUCGAUGAUACUGAAUAAUUGAUACUGAAUAGGUAGCUAAAAUUUCAAUACUUUGUCAGUGAAUAUUCAAGUAUAAAAUUGUUUGAAUAUGAUCAAUGUGUAUGGUAUCAAUCCCAUCGCUACAUGGGUGUUCUUAUAGCCAACCGAAUCGGUUCCCCACGGAAUGAAGUCUCUGAUGCAACCGGUGCAGGCAGGCCUUGCGCUACAAAUUACGAAUAGCCUUAGGCAAGGCAAAACGAACAUUGGAGAAACGAUGACGAAGAUGAAGAAGACGAAGAAAAGCAAGAAAAAGUCGCAGACAGAAGGGGAGAGAACCGACCGAGUUUGGCAGGAGAAAAGAACGCCGAAACGAAUGGCUACAUACUACAUAUGUAGGUAUGUAUGUAGUCUAAACCCAAUCUUUUUAAAUAUAUUUUUAUGCUUUCAAACGUAUAUGAUAAUGAAGACUUUUAUUUCUGUUAUUUAAAAAAAAAUCAUUUUUGAGCUCUUGAUGAACACAUUGCAUGGUAGAAUCGGGAUGCAAGCAAAAGAACAAGAACAAGAGACGAGUUCCUAAACGAAAGAACAAAGCAUCCUACUACAAAACGAGCUGUAUAGCGGAGUUUGGUCGACCAGCUUAUAAAGUAAGAUUGGCUAAUUUUCGAGUCAAACAUCGGAUCGUGUUUUAUUUGGGCACUGUAAACGAGACGAACAUCUCUGAAUACACUUCCAGCCUGAAAAUUACUCCGAUAACCGAUACGAGCUAAUCAUACCAAAGAUUCCUUUUUUUCUUACAAAACAAAAUAACAGCUCGAAACAGCUGUUUGAUUUUAAAAUACUGACAAUGAGUGACUGAUGAAAUUUCAUUAAUUUGCAAAAUUAAUUAAACAAAUUUCACUGAAAAGGUAUAAAAUUUCGAAAUAAACUGUGAUCAACAGAAAAGCAGAGGUUCUAAUUAACGAAUAUUAUUUUUAACGAUAUUACAAAUAAUAAUGCUGAAAGUUUCAUGAACGAAUGGACCAUUUAAACUAUAACAACCCAAUAUUUUCGUGCAUUAUAACGGCAGACAGAAGAAGAGAUCCCCUUUAAUUACAGAAAUUCACGAAAAGAGUUCGCGUGUGAACGAAAUGAUCAGCAUCUUCCAAGAAGCAGUACACGGCAAAGCGUUCCUUUAUAUUCUUUAUCUUUCUUACAUAUACAGUACUCGCCAACUUGCAGCAGACUGUGCUACAAACAUCUUUCUCCGACAUCUUAAUGUUCGAAUUCAUCCCUUGAUAAAUUGUCAAGCAUUUGUUCCUUUUCUGUAUUCGCGGUACUAGUUUUGUCAACCCCGGUCCACUGUUGACAUUCGAAACAAAUUUAAAUCCUUUAAAGAAAUUCUGAUUUUAUUUCUUUGAAUAAUACUUUAAACUUUAAAUUGAUAUAUCAUAGAUGUUAUUUCGCGAUACUUUUAUGUCAUGAAAUCAUGUCUGACUUUCUACGUUUCGAAAUCAACCAUUUGAUAUGCAACUACCUAAUGAUAUCAAAUCGCACUUGCUCAAUUUACAACUUCAAGUGUGACAAACCUAAUUACUGUAAUUUAAACCUGAUUUUAUUCUUGUAAAAUCUUGUAAAAUUUAACCAUGAAACAACGGAAAAUGAAAGUGCAUGGUGUUUGUUAAAGAAUUUCCCUGGUUUCCUAUCUGGUCACCAAAGAGAAAUCUCGUUCGAAACAAAAUGUUUACCGUCUAUCCAAACCGUCGAUCCUCCAUGAGACUGGCAUACCUUUAGGCAAUUCCAGGGAAAAAAGUACAUUAGAAACGCUUAACCUGUCUGAUGCAAGAUCGUCGAGAAGCUACAUGUUACCGAUUCCCAUGUACACUCGCGAUCAAAUCAAGGUUUUCCCCCAGGGAAAAUCCUAGGGAAUCUUCAAAAUCUGAACUUUUACGAUAUUUACAUUAAAAGUACUUAAGAAACAGGAAUAAUAAAAUUUAAUAUACAUAUAACUGAGAAAUAUUCGUUUUCCCACGUAAACUUUUACACGCAAGUAGAUAGAACCAGACUCCUAAUUGGACAGUGUUUUUCGUUAAUAAUUCAACAAUAAAGCCUUAACCAACAUUUUGGUAAAGAUAAAAAGUUGUUCAAAAUCAGCCCAGCAACCACCACUUCAGGGGAUUAUCAUUCUUUCUCAGACACUCUGUACAUGUGGGACCACCACCCUCUUCCCUCCAUAGUGAAAAUCUGAUUUGAUCGCGACUGUACUAAAAGAAAAGCACAGGGCUCUAACAAGGACGCCAACUUUUUCUAUCCGUCUAUCUUUGCGGAAUUCCAUCCAAACCUAUAAUCACAUACUCAUACGAUUAUUACAAUUAUCAUCUAUUUUCUUUUUUCUCUCUCUCUUUUUAUUUUUUUUUACCGCAACUGUUCCUGCUACGAGGAUUGCAUAAAAUUAACUCGCAUGAUUUCCUGGUCUUUCAAAACCAGCAAUUACUCUAUGGUGGUGAGACGAACUUAUACACGCGCGAAAUUAAUGAACCGACUCGAUCGAAUCGAAACCUUCAAUAAUGGAUCAAUCAAGAUACCAGCCGAUGAAUUACAUUUUUUCUUUUCUUUUCUUUUGUAAUGAUAGGAAUGGCACCAUGAGUUCGUUACGGGGUCACUACGCACAUCGUUUCUUUAUCUGCAAAAACAUAGAUCCACGUUGCAAUCUUAUUGCGAUUGUAAUAACAAAUUGAUUUGAACGCAUCAGGCUGAUUGAAUAAGACGGAAAGAUUGGUCAUUGACGAUCAAGAAACUGCAGUCUCAAUGAUAAAACGGAUUCAUAAUGAAGAAUGUAUCAUUGAAGAAUUAUCAUAUUAAAUUAUUGUUUUUCCCUUUCGUACGUACUUU